CCCUGAUAAGGGUGAGGUCGGUGGUUCAAGUCCACUCAGGCCUACCAAAUUCGCUCCCGUGCUUUGUUGUGGCAAAGCUCGCAUACUUCAGUAUGCUUCGCUUCACCACGCCGGGCCCGGAAACGAAUUGGGGAUGAGGUUUAACUACACUGUAUGGGGCUAUAGCUCAGCUGGGAGAGCGCCUGCUUUGCACGCAGGAGGUCUGCGGUUCGAUCCCGCAUAGCUCCACCAUCACUGUGGAACGUUGAUAAAAAAAUACUUCAGAG
This 266-nucleotide unclassified non-coding RNA is filed under the name Salmonella sp. Its description in RNAcentral is "partial 16S-23S ribosomal RNA intergenic spacer". The stretch from base 156 to 228 matches the Rfam family "tRNA". Lineage: Bacteria; Pseudomonadati; Pseudomonadota; Gammaproteobacteria; Enterobacterales; Enterobacteriaceae. The record is from RNAcentral.